AACUUUUGGCAAUGGAUCUCUUGGUUCUGGCAUCGAUGAAGAACGCAGCGAAAUGCGAUAAGUAAUGUGAAUUGCAGAACUCAGUGAAUCAUCGAAUCUUUGAACGCACAUUGCGCCCCUUGGUAUUCCGAGGGGCAUGCCUGUUCGAGCGUCAUUACAACCCUCAAGCACUGCUUGGUAUUGGGCUCCGCUGCUUAUACAGCGGGCCUUAAAAUUAGUGGCGGUGUCAUUAGGCCCUGAGCGUAGUAAAUAUCCUCGCUAUAGGGACUUGGUGAUUACUGGCCAGCAACCCCCACUUUCUAAGUUUGACCUCGGAUCAGGUAGGGAUACCCGCUGAACUUAAGCAUAUCAAUAAGCGGAGGCU
Molecule: unclassified non-coding RNA, 364 nt
Filed under: uncultured Helotiales
Lineage: Eukaryota; Fungi; Ascomycota; Leotiomycetes; Helotiales
Description: sequence contains ITS2
Rfam family: 5.8S ribosomal RNA (bases 1-154)
Source: RNAcentral